GAUGAACGCUGGCGGCGUGCUUAACACAUGCAAGUCGAACGGAAAGGCCUCUGCUUGCAGGGGUACUCGAGUGGCAAACGGGUGAGUAACACGUGGGUGAUCUGCCCUGCACUUCGGGAUAAGCCUGGGAAACUGGGUCUAAUACCGGAUAGGACAAUGGUUUGGAUGCUGUUGUGGAAAGUUUUUCGGUGUGGGAUGAGCUCGCGGCCUAUCAGCUUGUUGGUGGGGUAAUGGCCUACCAAGGCGUCGACGGGUAGCCGGCCUGAGAGGGUGUACGGCCACAUUGGGACUGAGAUACGGCCCAGACUCCUACGGGAGGCAGCAGUGGGGAAUAUUGCACAAUGGGCGCAAGCCUGAUGCAGCGACGCCGCGUGGGGGAUGACGGCCUUCGGGUUGUAAACUCCUUUCGCUAGGGACGAAGCGUUUUUGUGACGGUACCUGGAGAAGAAGCACCGGCUAACUACGUG
RNAcentral lists this ribosomal RNA (467 nucleotides) under uncultured bacterium. RNAcentral's name for it is "partial 16S ribosomal RNA". It matches the Rfam family "Bacterial small subunit ribosomal RNA", at positions 28 to 507 of the family's 1533-position model. The record is from RNAcentral.